This 465-nucleotide ribosomal RNA is filed under the name uncultured bacterium. Its description in RNAcentral is "partial 16S ribosomal RNA". It matches the Rfam family "Bacterial small subunit ribosomal RNA", at positions 28 to 507 of the family's 1533-position model. The record is from RNAcentral.
GAUGAACGCUGGCGGCGUGCUUAACACAUGCAAGUCGAACGGAAAGGCUCCUGCUUGCAGGGGUACUCGAGUGGCGAACGGGUGAGUAACACGUGGGUGAUCUGCCCUGCACUUCGGGAUAAGCCUGGGAAACUGGGUCUAAUACCGGAUAGGACGAUGGUUUGGAUGCCAUUGUGGAAAGUUUUUCGGUGUGGGAUGAGCUCGCGGCCUAUCAGCUUGUUGGUGGGGUAAUGGCCUACCAAGGCGUCGACGGGUAGCCCGCCUGAGAGGGUGUACGGCCACAUUGGGACUGAGAUACGGCCCAGACUCCUACGGGAGGCAGCAGUGGGGAAUAUUGCACAAUGGGCGCAAGCCUGAUGCAGCGACGCCGCGUGGGGGAUGACGGCCUUCGGGUUGUAAACUCCUUUCGCUAGGGACGAAGCGCAAGUGACGGUACCUGGAGAAGAAGCACCGGCUAACUACGUG